UUUUUCAAAAUAUUUUAAUGUUAAGCUUGCGAACGAUCUUGACUGUAUCUUUUUUGACACUCGAACCAAGUGUUGUGAAAGCUUUUACAAUUAUUAAGGUCUUCGUUCUUUGAAGCACACUCAAAAAAUUGUCGAAUUUCAGAACCAGCGGCUACUCCUGCAGCAGUACUAGCUAUACUUUGAAAAUUAUCAGUCGAACUUUUAGGAUUUAUAGGAUUUGUUUUACGAUCUUGUGUAGUUGUAGUAUACCUACAAACAAUAUAAACUGCCUUCAAUCAAUUAUCAAUAAGGUAAUUUUAUGAAAAAUAUUUAAUUUUUUAAAUGGACAUUAUAUAAAGGAAAUAGAAUUAGUCUUUAAAAAUAGAAUAAAACGAAUUCUUUGCUUGGCUUUAUUUAUACAGAAUACAAUUUUAGAAUUAAUUUUCUCUUGUCUUCAUACAUAUGAGAUAUACAUAUAUAUAAUUUGGUCUUCAUCUAAUAUCUGUAAAGAGAUGGUUUAUGUUACGAAGAGGCAUUUGUUAUAAUAAUAAUAAUAAUAAUAAUAAUAAUAAUAAUAAUAAUAAUAAUAAUAUUAAUAAUAAUAAUAAUAAUCUAUUGAAAGAAAUAUAUAUCUAUUAAAAUCGUACUAUGUUUACGUUUGCAAUCCAAUAAUGCUUUUUUAUAUAAUUCACAAGCUUGUAAAUCUGUUUCAUUUUGUACACAAUCUAGAAUUUGUCCUUCCUCGUAUUUGCAAGGAUUACUAGCAGAAUCAGCUUGUAUUGAUUCACUAGGUGCAGCUGAUUCAUUACGACCAGAAAUUUUAUCACCGAUUACUGUGCCCUGAUAAAAAAAAAAAAAAAAAAAAAACCUUUUAAAUAAUGAUUUUAAUUGUUCAAUAUAUUUUAAAUUUAUUGAUAUUCACCGCAGCUACACCAGCAGCUGUUCCUGCUAUAUGGCCAAACAUUCCAGGCUUCUUUUGUGAUUGCACAAUUAUAAUAUCUGGUCUGCAACAAUUUAUUUCUUUCUAAUAUCUAUAUCUUGGGAAAUUUAAAAUAGUACUGCAUUAAUUGAAUUAAAAUGUUUUAUUCAUUGACAAUAAUCUUAUAGACACAUAGAAAUUUAAUAAGAAUUAAUUAUAGAUAUAUAUA
Long non-coding RNA from Vespa crabro (European hornet), 1127 nucleotides. RefSeq lists it as uncharacterized. NCBI's taxonomy places the organism in Eukaryota, Metazoa, Arthropoda, Insecta, Hymenoptera, Vespidae. The transcript is spliced from 2 exons. The record is from RefSeq and is a predicted model, not a curated record.